GUAGGGUCUGUGAGCUGGGGCACAUUGAGAAGAGGCACUGGGAGCUUGGAGGAACCUGAGAGUGAGCGGCAGUGCCUCUUGGAUGGAGGGGCAGGGGGCACAGGAAGCUUCUCUGGAUCUGGGGGCUCAGGUCUUAGGACUUGGGAGAAGGGCUGCUCCUUGGGGGAGUUUCCCCGACUGGGUGGUCUGAGGUGCAGGCUCAGGCCUGAGGGAUGGUAGCUGAAGUUGAGGCUGUCCUGGAACUCAGCACAGGAACAGUGGGGCAGGCCCCUCCAGGAAGCACCUUCUGGAAGGCAUUUAUAAUAAGAAUAAUAUUAAUGAUAGCUUACAUUUUUUAAGAACUUACCAUUUGCCACAUAAUGUAUGGAGCAUUUUAUGUGAAAAUUUCCAAAAACCUUAUGAGGUAGGUAGUAUCGUUAUCAUUAUCCCCAUUUCACAGAUAAGAGAAAUUCAAUAACUUUCCCAAAAUCACAUAGCACUCAAAAGACCAAAGGAGGAUUCAAAUCCAGGUCUGUCUGAUGCGAAGGCUAGGUUUUUAAACCACUAUGCUCUAUUGCCUCCAUUGUGACCAACUACCUGGAAUCAAAAACAUUUCAUCUACUGCCUGCCACUCCCUCUCAAAGGUAAAAGAAGUCAAGAGAAACAAACACGUUUGUGAGUGUCCUGCUCAUCUCUCCCUCGCCCCUCCCCCACGCUUGCCCUGGAUGCUGAAAAGCAGGCCUAUGCUCUUCUUUCUCGGCCUUUCCUCCUCUCAUGUGUCAACAGCACCAAGUCAGGAGUUAGGACUGCCAAGAAGUAAGAGGUAAUCAGGCAGGUAAGAGAUCACUUUUAUUCCUAGGGAGGGCAAACAGGGUGGGGAAGGCCUUUGACAGUGAAACCUGGGCUUGGGAAACCCUGACUUUGUGCUGCUCAUCUUCGUUUCUGUCUGGCCACCCACAUAUUCCGAUUCCCUUCCCCUAGGCCUUCUCUUAAAUCCAAACAGAUGGAGGGACCAAGAGAAGGAAGGGAAAAUGGACUAAAAGAAACAAUCCUCACUCACUGUAUUCCAACCAAAAUUGUGACUUUUGGGAGACGGCUCAUUAAGGGACAAAGGGCCUAAUCCAAACUCCUCUGGCUAGCUGGCUGGAAUUCUGCAGGGGCUGGAUAUUUGGGGCAAACGACAAGUAUACGAAGUCAGACUUGAUGGUGGCAAAAUUCAUACUGAGUGUAUUUGGUCUAUAGUUCUUCCCUCUACUAACCACUAUGAGGGCAGGGACCAUGAGUUCCUGCUCUAUACUUAUGACACAAUACCUGGCUUUCAGCAAGUCUUUAAUAAACAGGAGGAAGAGACUGAAUGAACAUGUUUUUGCCAACUCACUUCCCUUGCUAGGUAUCCCAGAAAAGAAAAUGAGAUGCAGAACUGCUGAGCAGCACGAGUUAGGGAGUUCUGAUUGUCCACCAGUGAUGCCUCCAUCUAAAUGUCCCUACGAUCAGGGGCCCUUUAACUCAGUAAUUAAUAAUCUACGAAUUUAUACCUCAGAUAUAUUUUCACAUGUGAAAAAAUGACAUAUGUACAAGGUUAUUCACUACAGUUUCUUU
This 1578-nucleotide long non-coding RNA is filed under the name Homo sapiens (human). RNAcentral's name for it is "HSALNT0329752". Lineage: Eukaryota; Metazoa; Chordata; Mammalia; Primates; Hominidae. The record is from RNAcentral.